UUAGGGUUAGGGUUAGGGUUGGAGUUAGGGUUAGGGUUAGGGUUAAGGUUGGAGCUAGGGUUAGGGUUAGGGUUAGGAUUAGGGUGGAGCUAGGGUUAGGGUUAGGGUUAGGGUUAGAGCUAGGGUUAGUGUUGGAGCUAGGGUUAGGGUUGGGCUUGGAGCUAGGAUUUUUCUGAGUGCAAUGAACCAACUCCCGAGUCUCUAGGACGUUCCUAAAAAAAUUUGAUUUUUUCCCAUAGGAAUGCAUGGGUUAGGGUUAGGGUUAGGGUUGGAGCUAGGGUUAGGGUAAGGGUUAGGGUUGGAGUUAGGGUUAGUGUUGGAGCUAGGGUUAGGGUUGGGCUUGGAGCUAGGAUUUUUCUGAGUGCAAUGAACCAACUCCCGAGUCUCUAGGACGUUCCUAAAAAUAUUUGUUUUUUUUCCCAUAGGAAUGCAUGGGUUAGGGUUAGGGUUAGGGUUGGAGCUAGGGUUAGGGUUAGGGUUAGGGUUGGAGUUAGGGUUAGUGUUGGAGCUAGGGUUAGGGUUGGGCUUGGAGCUAGGAUUUUUCUGAGUGCAAUGAACCAACUCCCGAGUCUCUAGGACGUUCCUAAAAAAAUUGAUUUUUUCCCAUAGGAAUGCAUGGGUUAGGGUUAGGGUUAGGGUUGGAGCUAGGGUUAGGGUUAGGGUUAGGGUUGGAGUUAGGGUUAGUGUUGGAGCUAGGGUAAGGGUUGGGCUUGGAGCUAGGAUUUUUCUGAGUGCAAUGAACCAACUCCCGAGUCUCUAGGACGUUCCUAAAAAAAAAUGAUUUUUUCCCAUAGGAAUGCAUGGGUUAGGGUUAGGGUUAGGGUUGGAGCUAGGGUUAGGGUUAGGGUUAGGGUUGGAGUUAGGGUUAGUGUUGGAGCUAGGGUUAGGGUUGGGCUUGGAGCUAGGAUUUUUCUGAGUGCAAUGAACCAACUCCCGAGUCUCUAGGACGUUCCUAAAAAAAUUUGAUUUUUUCCCAUAGGAAUGCAUGGGUUAGGGUUAGGGUUAGGGUUGGAGCUAGGGUUAGGGUUAGGGUUAGGGUUGGAGUUAGGGUUAGUGUUGGAGCUAGGGUUAGGGUUGGGCUUGGAGCUAGGAUUUUUCUGAGUGCAAUGAACCAACUCCCGAGUCUCUAGGACGUUCCUAAAAAAAAUUGAUUUUUUCCCAUAGGAAUGCAUGGGUUAGGGUUAGGGUUAGGGUUGGAGCUAGGGUUAGGGUUGGGGUUAGGGUUAGGGUUGGAGUUAGGGUUAGUGUUGGAGCUAGGGUUAGGGUUGGGCUUGGAGCUAGGAUUUUUCUGAGUGCAAUGAACCAACUCCCGAGUCUCUAGGACGUUCUUUAAAAAAUUUGAUUUUUUUCCAUAGGAAUGCAUGGGAAAAAAAAUUUGAAAAAUUUUUAAGUGCCAACCCAAUUUUUCACCUUCCAGAAUUGUGUUAGGAGCACAUUUCAGGGCACGGGGAGUCUAUAGAACCUAAUUCUGGGGGAAGUUUUUUGAAAAGUUUACUUGGGGUUUGGGUUAGGGUUAGGGUUGGAGCUAGGGUUAGGGUUAGGGUUAAGGUUGGAGCAAGGGUUAGGGUUAGGGUUGGAGCUAGGGUUAGGGUUAGGGUUAGAGCUAGGGUUUGGGCUAGGGUUAGGGUUAGGGUUAGGGUUAAGGUUGGAGCUAGGGUUAGGGUUAGGUGUGGGGUUGGAGCUAGGGUUAGGGUUAGGGUUAGGGUUGGAGUUAGGGUCAGUGUUGGAGCUAGGGUUAGGGUUGGGCUUGGAGCUAGGAUUUUUCUGAGUGCAAUGAACCAGCUCCCGAGUCUCUAGGACGUUCCUAAAAAAAUUUGAUUUUUUCCCAUAGGAAUACAUGGGUUAGGGUUAGGGUUAGGGUUGGAGCUAGGGUUAGGGUUAGGGUUAGGGUUGGAGCUAGGGUUAGUGUUGGAGCUAGGGUUAGGGUUGGGCUUGGAGCUAGGAUUUUUCUGAGUGCAAUGAACCAACUCCCGAGUCUCUAGGACGUUCCUAAAAAAAUUUGAUUUUUUCCCAUAGGAAUGCAUGGGUUAGGGUUAGGGUUAGGGUUGGAGCUAGGGUUAGGGUUAGGGUUAGGGUUGGAGUUAGGGUUAGUGUUGGAGCUAGGGUAAGGGUUGGGCUUGGAGCUAGGAUUUUUCUGAGUGCAAUGAACCAACUCCCGAGUCUCUAGGACGUUCCUAAAAAAAUUUGAUUUUUUCCCAUAGGAAUGCAUGGGUUAGGGUUAGGGUUAGGGUUGGAGCUAGGGUUAGGGUUAGGGUUAGGGUUGGAGUUAGGGUUAGUGUUGGAGCUAGGGUUAGGGUUGGGCUUGGAGCUAGGAUUUUUCUGAGUGCAAUGAACCAACUCCCGAGUCUCUAGGAUGUUGCUAAAAAAAUUUGAUUUUUUUCCAUAGGAAUGCAUGGGUUAGGGUUAGGGUUAGGGUUGGAGCUAGGGUUAGGGUUAGGGUUAGGGUUGGAGUUAGGGUUAGUGUUGGAGCUAGGGUUAGGGUUGGGCUUGGAGCUAGGAUUUUUCUGAGUGCAAUGAACCAGCUCCCAAGUCUCUAGGACGUUCCUAAAAAAAAUGAUUUUUUCCAAUAGGAAUGCAUGGGUUAGGGUUAGGGUUAGGGUUGGAGCUAGGGUUAGGGUUAGGGUUAGGGUUAGGGUUAGGGUUGGAGUUAGGGUUAGUGUUGGAGCUAGGGUUAGGGUUGGGCUUGGAGCUAGGAUUUUUCUGAGUGCAAUGAACCAACUCCCGAGUCUCUAGGACGUUCCUAAAAAAAUUUGAUUUUUUUCCAUAGGAAUGCAUGGGUUAGGGUUAGGGUUAGGGUUGGAGCUAGGGUUAGGGUUAGGGUUGGAGUUAGGGUUAGUGUUGGAGCUAGGGUUAGGGUUGGGCUUGGAGCUAGGAUUUUUCUGAGUGCAAUGAACCAACUCCCGAGUCUCUAGGACGUUCCUAAAAAAAUUUGAUUUUUUUCCAUAGGAAUGCAUGGGUUAGGGUUAGGGUUAGGGUUGGAGCUAGGGUUAGGGUUAGGGUUAGGGUUGGAGUUAGGGUUAGUGUUGGAGCUAGGGUUAGGUGUGGGCUUGGAGCUAGGAUUUUUCUGAGUGCAAUGAACCAAUUCCCGAGUCUCUAGGACGUUCCUAAAAAAAAUGAUUUUUUCCCAUAGGAAUGCAUGGGUUAGGGUUAGGGUUAGGGUUGGAGCUAGGGUUAGGGUUAGGGUUAGGGUUAGGGUUGGAGUUAGGGUUAGUGUUGGAGCUAGGGUUAGGGUUGGGCUUGGAGCUAGGAUUUUUCUGAGUGCAAUGAACCAACUCCCGAGUCUCUAGGACGUUCCUAAAAAAAUUUGAUUUUUUUUCCCAUAGGAAUGCAUGGGUUAGGGUUAGGGUUAGGGUUGGAGCUAGGGUUAGGGUUAGGGUUAGGGUUGGAGUUAGGGUUAGUGUUGGAGCUAGGGUUAGGGUUGGGCUUGGAGCUAGGAUUUUUCUGAGUGCAAUGAACCAACUCCCGAGUCUCUAGGACGUUCCUAAAAAUUUUGAUUUUUUUCCCAUAGGAAUGCAUGGGUUAGGGUUAGGGUUAGGGUUGGAGCUAGGGUUAGGGUUGGAGUUAGGGUUAGUGUUGGAGCUAGGGUUAGGGUUGGGCUUGGAGCUAGGAUUUUUCUGAGUGCAAUGAACCAACUCCCGAGUCUCUAGGACGUUCCUAAAAAAUUUGAUUUUUUCCCAUAGGAAUGCAUGGGUUAGGGUUAGGGUUAGGGUUGGAGCUAGGGUUAGGGUUAGGGUUAGGGUUGGAGUUAGGGUUAGUGUUGGAGCUAGGGUUAGGGUUGGGCUUGGAGCUAGGAUUUUUCUGAGUGCAAUGAACCAACUCCCGAGUCUCUAGGACGUUCCUAAAAAAAUUGAUUUUUUCCCAUAGGAAUGCAUGGGUUAGGGUUAGGGUUAGGGUUGGAGCUAGGGAUAGGGUUAGGGUUGGAGUUAGGGUUAGUGUUGGAGCUAGGGUAAGGGUUGGGCUUGGAGCUAGGAUUUUUCUGAGUGCAAUGAACCAACUCCCGAGUCUCUAGGACGUUCUUUAAAAAAUUUGAUUUUUUUCCAUAGGAAUGCAUGGGAAAAAAAAUUUGAAAAAUUUUUAAGUGCCAACCCAAUUUUUCACCUUCCAGAAUUGUGUUAGGAGCACAUUUCAGGGCACGGGGAGUCUAUAGAACCUAAUUCUGGGGGAAGUUUUUUGAAAAGUUUACUUGGGGUUUGGGUUAGGGUUAGGGUUGGAGCUAGGGUUAGGGUUAGGGUUAAGGUUGGAGCAAGGGUUAGGGUUAGGGUUGGAGCUAGGGUUAGGGUUAGGGUUAGAGCUAGGGUUAGGGUUAGGGUUUGGGCUAGGGUUAGGGUUAGGGUUAGGGUUAAGGUUGGAGCUAGGGUUAGGGUUAGGUGUGGGGUUGGAGCUAGGGUUAGGGUUAGGGUUAGGGUUGGAGUUAGGGUCAGUGUUGGAGCUAGGGUUAGGGUUGGGCUUGGAGCUAGGAUUUUUCUGAGUGCAAUGAACCAACUCCCGAGUCUCUAGGACGUUCCUAAAAAAAUUUGAUUUUUUCCCAUAGGAAUACAUGGGUUAGGGUUAGGGUUAGGGUUGGAGCUAGGGUUAGGGUUAGGGUUAGGGUUGGAGCUAGGGUUAGUGUUGGAGCUAGGGUUAGGGUUGGGCUUGGAGCUAGGAUUUUUCUGAGUGCAAUGAACCAACUCCCGAGUCUCUAGGACGUUCCUAAAAAAAUUUGAUUUUUUCCCAUAGGAAUGCAUGGGUUAGGGUUAGGGUUAGGGUUGGAGCUAGGGUUAGGGUUAGGGUUAGGGUUGGAGUUAGGGUUAGUGUUGGAGCUAGGGUUAGGGUUGGGCUUGGAGCUAGGAUUUUUCUGAGUGCAAUGAACCAACUCCCGAGUCUCUAGGACGUUCCUAAAAAAAUUGAUUUUUUCCCAUAGGAAUGCAUGGGUUAGGGUUAGGGUUAGGGUUGGAGCUAGGGUUAGGGUUUGGGUUAGGGUUGGAGUUAGGGUUAGUGUUGGAGCUAGGGUUAGGGUUGGGCUUGGAGCUAGGAUUUUUCUGAGUGCAAUGAACCAACUCCCGAGUCUCUAGGAUGUUGCUAAAAAAAUUUGAUUUUUUUCCAUAGGAAUGCAUGGGUUAGGGUUAGGGUUAGGGUUGGAGCUAGGGUUAGGGUUAGGGUUAGGGUUGGAGUUAGGGUUAGUGUUGGAGCUAGGGUUAGGGUUGGGCUUGGAGCUAGGAUUUUUCUGAGUGCAAUGAACCAACUCCCGAGUCUCUAGGACGUUCCUAAAAAAAUUUGAUUUUUUCCAAUAGGAAUGCAUGGGUUAGGGUUAGGGUUAGGGUUGGAGCUAGGGUUAGGGUUAGGGUUAGGGUUAGGGUUAGGGUUGGAGUUAGGGUUAGUGUUGGAGCUAGGGUUAGGGUUGGGCUUGGAGCUAGGAUUUUUCUGAGUGCAAUGAACCAACUCCCGAGUCUCUAGGACGUUCCUAAAAAAAUUUGAUUUUUUUCCAUAGGAAUGCAUGGGUUAGGGUUAGGGUUAGGGUUGGAGCUAGGGUUAGGGUUAGGGUUGGAGUUAGGGUUAGUGUUGGAGCUAGGGUUAGGGUUGGGCUUGGAGCUAGGAUUUUUCUGAGUGCAAUGAACCAACUCCCGAGUCUCUAGGACGUUCCUAAAAAAAUUUGAUUUUUUUCCAUAGGAAUGCAUGGGUUAGGGUUAGGGUUAGGGUUGGAGCUAGGGUUAGGGUUAGGGUUAGGGUUGGAGUUAGGGUUAGUGUUGGAGCUAGGGUUAGGUGUGGGCUUGGAGCUAGGAUUUUUCUGAGUGCAAUGAACCAAUUCCCGAGUCUCUAGGACGUUCCUAAAAAAAAUGAUUUUUUCCCAUAGGAAUGCAUGGGUUAGGGUUAGGGUUAGGGUUGGAGCUAGGGUUAGGGUUAGGGUUAGGGUUAGGGUUGGAGUUAGGGUUAGUGUUGGAGCUAGGGUUAGGGUUGGGCUUGGAGCUAGGAUUUUUCUGAGUGCAAUGAACCAACUCCCGAGUCUCUAGGACGUUCCUAAAAAAAUUUGAUUUUUUCCCAUAGGAAUGCAUGGGUUAGGGUUAGGGUUAGGGUUGGAGCUAGGGUUAGGGUUAGGGUUAGGGUUGGAGUUAGGGUUAGUGUUGGAGCUAGGGUUAGGGUUGGGCUUGGAGCUAGGAUUUUUCUGAGUGCAAUGAACCAACUCCCGAGUCUCUAGGACGUUCCUAAAAAAAUUUGAUUUUUUUCCAUAGGAAUGCAUGGGUUAGGGUUAGGGUUAGGGUUGGAGCUAGGGUUAGGGUUGGAGUUAGGGUUAGUGUUGGAGCUAGGGUUAGGGUUGGGCUUGGAGCUAGGAUUUUUCUGAGUGCAAUGAACCAACUCCCGAGUCUCUAGGACGUUCCUAAAAAAAAUUGAUUUUUUCCCAUAGGAAUGCAUGGGUUAGGGUUAGGGUUAGGGUUGGAGCUAGGGUUAGGGUUAGGGUUAGGGUUGGAGUUAGGGUUAGUGUUGGAGCUAGGGUUAGGGUUGGGCUUGGAGCUAGGAUUUUUCUGAGUGCAAUGAACCAACUCCCGAGUCUCUAGGACGUUCCUAAAAAAAAUUUGAUUUUUUCCCAUAGGAAUGCAUGGGUUAGGGUUAGGGUUAGGGUUGGAGCUAGGGAUAGGGUUAGGGUUGGAGUUAGGGUUAGUGUUGGAGCUAGGGUAAGGGUUGGGCUUGGAGCUAGGAUUUUUCUGAGUGCAAUGAACCAACUCCCGAGUCUCUAGGACGUUCUUUAAAAAAUUUGAUUUUUUUCCAUAGGAAUGCAUGGGAAAAAAAAUUUGAAAAAUUUUUAAGUGCCAACCCAAUUUUUCACCUUCCAGAAUUGUGUUAGGAGCACAUUUCAGGGCACGGGGAGUCUAUAGAACCUAAUUCUGGGGGAAGUUUUUUGAAAAGUUUACUUGGGGUUUGGGUUAGGGUUAGGGUUGGAGCUAGGGUUAGGGUUAGGGUUAAGGUUGGAGCAAGGGUUAGGGUUAGGGUUGGAGCUAGGGUUAGGGUUAGGGUUAGAGCUAGGGUUAGGGUUAGGGUUUGGGCUAGGGUUAGGGUUAGGGUUAGGGUUAAGGUUGGAGCUAGGGUUAGGGUUAGGUGUGGGGUUGGAGCUAGGGUUAGGGUUAGGGUUAGGGUUGGAGUUAGGGUCAGUGUUGGAGCUAGGGUUAGGGUUGGGCUUGGAGCUAGGAUUUUUCUGAGUGCAAUGAACCAGCUCCCGAGUCUCUAGGACGUUCCUAAAAAAAUUUGAUUUUUUCCCAUAGGAAUACAUGGGUUAGGGUUAGGGUUAGGGUUGGAGCUAGGGUUAGGGUUAGGGUUAGGGUUGGAGCUAGGGUUAGUGUUGGAGCUAGGGUUAGGGUUGGGCUUGGAGCUAGGAUUUUUCUGAGUGCAAUGAACCAACUCCCGAGUCUCUAGGACGUUCCUAAAAAAAUUUGAUUUUUUCCCAUAGGAAUGCAUGGGUUAGGGUUAGGGUUAGGGUUGGAGCUAGGGUUAGGGUUAGGGUUAGGGUUGGAGUUAGGGUUAGUGUUGGAGCUAGGGUAAGGGUUGGGCUUGGAGCUAGGAUUUUUCUGAGUGCAAUGAACCAACUCCCGAGUCUCUAGGACGUUCCUAAAAAAAUUGAUUUUUUCCCAUAGGAAUGCAUGGGUUAGGGUUAGGGUUAGGGUUGGAGCUAGGGUUAGGGUUUGGGUUAGGGUUGGAGUUAGGGUUAGUGUUGGAGCUAGGGUUAGGGUUGGGCUUGGAGCUAGGAUUUUUCUGAGUGCAAUGAACCAACUCCCGAGUCUCUAGGAUGUUGCUAAAAAAAUUUGAUUUUUUUCCAUAGGAAUGCAUGGGUUAGGGUUAGGGUUAGGGUUGGAGCUAGGGUUAGGGUUAGGGUUAGGGUUGGAGUUAGGGUUAGUGUUGGAGCUAGGGUUAGGGUUGGGCUUGGAGCUAGGAUUUUUCUGAGUGCAAUGAACCAGCUCCCGAGUCUCUAGGACGUUCCUAAAAAAAAAAUGAUUUUUUCCAAUAGGAAUGCAUGGGUUAGGGUUAGGGUUAGGGUUGGAGCAAGGGUUAGGGUUAGGGUUAGGGUUAGGGUUAGGGUUGGAGUUAGGGUUAGUGUUGGAGCUAGGGUUAGGGUUGGGCUUGGAGCUAGGAUUUUUCUGAGUGCAAUGAACCAACUCCCGAGUCUCUAGGACGUUCCUAAAAAAAUUUGAUUUUUUCCAUAGGAAUGCAUGGGUUAGGGUUAGGGUUAGGGUUGGAGCUAGGGUUAGGGUUAGGGUUAGGGUUGGAGUUAGGGUUAGUGUUGGAGCUAGGGUUAGGGUUGGGCUUGGAGCUAGGAUUUUUCUGAGUGCAAUGAACCAACUCCCGAGUCUCUAGGACGUUCCUAAAAAAAUUUGAUUUUUUUCCAUAGGAAUGCAUGGGUUAGGGUUAGGGUUAGGGUUGGAGCUAGGGUUAGGGUUAGGGUUAGGGUUGGAGUUAGGGUUAGUGUUGGAGCUAGGGUUAGGUGUGGGCUUGGAGCUAGGAUUUUUCUGAGUGCAAUGAACCAAUUCCCGAGUCUCUAGGACGUUCCUAAAAAAAAUGAUUUUUUCCCAUAGGAAUGCAUGGGUUAGGGUUAGGGUUAGGGUUGGAGCUAGGGUUAGGGUUAGGGUUAGGGUUAGGGUUGGAGUUAGGGUUAGUGUUGGAGCUAGGGUUAGGGUUGGGCUUGGAGCUAGGAUUUUUCUGAGUGCAAUGAACCAACUCCCGAGUCUCUAGGACGUUCCUAAAAAAAUUUGAUUUUUUUCCAUAGGAAUGCAUGGGUUAGGGUUAGGGUUAGGGUUGGAGCUAGGGUUAGGGUUAGGGUUAGGGUUGGAGUUAGGGUUAGUGUUGGAGCUAGGGUUAGGGUUGGGCUUGGAGCUAGGAUUUUUCUGAGUGCAAUGAACCAACUCCCGAGUCUCUAGGACGUUCCUAAAAAAAUUUGAUUUUUUUCCAUAGGAAUGCAUGGGUUAGGGUUAGGGUUAGGGUUGGAGCUAGGGUUAGGGUUAGGGUUAGGGUUGGAGUUAGGGUUAGUGUUGGAGCUAGGGUUAGGGUUGGGCUUGGAGCUAGGAUUUUUCUGAGUGCAAUGAACCAACUCCCGAGUCUCUAGGACGUUCCUAAAAAAAUUU
RNAcentral lists this long non-coding RNA (9083 nucleotides) under Xyrichtys novacula (pearly razorfish). Lineage: Eukaryota; Metazoa; Chordata; Actinopteri; Labriformes; Labridae. The record is from RNAcentral.